AAUUGAGGAUGAGAUUGAGAGAAAUGAUGAGAGGGGAUGAUGGAAGGAAGGAAUAACAAAAGUGAAAACAAAAACUUGAAAUGAAAACAACUUCAAAUAGCUUUCAGUUUUUAAAUUUUGUUUUCAGUUUUGUUACUCCUCCCCCUCAUCUUUCCCUCUUAUCUUCCUUCUCAAU
RNAcentral lists this microRNA precursor (175 nucleotides) under Prunus dulcis (almond). Its description in RNAcentral is "sRNA ncRNA". Lineage: Eukaryota; Viridiplantae; Streptophyta; Magnoliopsida; Rosales; Rosaceae. The record is from RNAcentral.